This 498-nucleotide ribosomal RNA is filed under the name uncultured bacterium. RNAcentral's name for it is "partial 16S ribosomal RNA". It matches the Rfam family "Bacterial small subunit ribosomal RNA", at positions 28 to 507 of the family's 1533-position model. The record is from RNAcentral.
GACGAACGCUGGCGGCGUGCCUAAUACAUGCAAGUCGAACGAGAGCGACCGGUGCUUGCACUGGUCAAUCUAGUGGCGAACGGGUGAGUAACACGUGGGUAACCUGCCCAUCAGAGGGGGAUAACAUCCGGAAACGGAUGCUAAAACCGCAUAGGUCUUCGAACCGCAUGGUUUGAAGAGGAAAAGAGGCGCAAGCUUCUGCUGAUGGAUGGACCCGCGGUGCAUUAGCUAGUUGGUGAGGUAACGGCUCACCAAGGCCGUGAUGCAUAGCCGACCUGAGAGGGCGAUCGGCCACAUUGGGACUGAGACACGGCCCAAACUCCUACGGGAGGCAGCAGUAGGGAAUCUUCCGCAAUGGACGCAAGUCUGACGGAGCAACGCCGCGUGAGUGAAGAAGGUUUUCGGAUCGUAAAACUCUGUUGUUAGAGAAGAACAAGUGCUAGAGUAACUGUUAGCGCCUUGACGGUAUCUAACCAGAAAGCCACGGCUAACUACGUG